Prunus persica (peach) is the source of this 4877-nucleotide RNA transcript. It is a transcript of the gene named TMV resistance protein N, with no coding region annotated. Lineage: Eukaryota; Viridiplantae; Streptophyta; Magnoliopsida; Rosales; Rosaceae. The transcript has 8 exons. The record is from RefSeq and is a predicted model, not a curated record.
UUUUGGAGCUAUAAGAAGACUGGCAUUACUACAUAUACCAUAGUAUGUGCCGUUCAUUUUAGCGAUCACAAUAUCCUAGAGAGGGCUAAAUAAAAGAAAACCCAUUUCAGAGAGGGAACUUCCAUGAAAUUUCGUAUGUUCCUUCCGUUCUUUCUCAUUGGAGACGUUGUGUGGCUGAAAAGAUCAAGUAAUUGCCUUUUCCUUCCACACCACAGUUUUUCAUUAUCGUGUGACGAAAAAAUAAAAAAUAAAAAAUCUCACCACAGUUUACCUAGAAAAGCAACCAUUCAAAUAAUUGGCCUGAUGACACUCAAAAGAACUUGUCGGCAAUGAAAUGAUGCUCUCCUUCCUCUUCAUUGAAAAGUAAAAGAGAUGACUCAUUGACGCAAGAAGACUUGGACUCCCAUUGGAGACGUUGGAGAUAGCUGACCAUAAAAACCGUGUACUCUACACCUCUCUCUCUGCUCGCCGCUACUUACUUCUCUCUCUCUCUCUCUCUCUCUCUCUCUCUCUCUCUCUCUCUCUCUCUGUAUCUCUUUUCUGAGGCUGUUAGCUUUGCUUCUUGCUGAUAUUGUAUUUUUUGUGAGUUUCUUGUUGGCUUGCUGGUCUUGUGGUGGCUGUCUUACCAAUUCUCUGGCGUUGUAACAUUAAGCUAAAGCUGCUGCUUUGCUUCGUCUCCCUUUUCAUAAUUGCUUUGUUCAGUGUUUACAGCAGAAGCAGCAGAUUUCCAAUGGCGUUGAGCACCCAAAGAGCCUCUGCUUUUCAUCCUUCAGCUGAUCAGUCGGCUCCUCCUCAAUGGAACUACGAUGUGUUUUUGAGUUUCAGGGGUGUAGACACUCGAAAUAACUUUGUGUCCCAUUUAUUCCACGAAUUGCAGCACAGGGGCAUUAAAACAUUCAAGGAUGAUCCAAAGCUUGAAAGAGGGACAACUAUUUCUUCUGAGCUCUUCAAAGCAAUCCAAGAAUCAAGGCUUGCAAUCGUUGUUCUCUCGCCAAACUAUGCUUCUUCUUCCUGGUGCUUGGAUGAACUUACAAAGAUUCUCCAAUGCAUGAAAUCCAACGGCACACUUCUGCCUGUGUUUUAUAAUGUGGAUCCCUCCGAUGUGCGAAAACAAAGCGGCAGUUUUGCUGACGCCUUCGCUGAGCAUGAGAAAAGGUUUAGGGAAGACAUCGAUAAGGUGAAGCGCUGGAGAGAUGCUUUAACAGAAGUUGCCAAUUUAGCUGGGAUAGAUUCAAAAAAUCAGUGUGAAAGAAAGCUCAUUGAAAAGAUUGUUGAAUGGGUGUGGAGGAAAGUGCAUCGCACAUUCAAAUUGUUAGAUACAACAGAGUUAGUGGGAAUUAAGUUUACACGAGAGCAAAUGAAUUUGCUUGUAGCUCCUACAGAUGAUGUUCGCUUUGUAGGGAUAUGGGGAAUGGGCGGCAUCGGCAAGACAACCAUUGCUGCGCUAGUUCAUGACAGCAUUUGUAUGCAGUUUGAAGUUAGUUGCUUUCUUGGUAAUGUUAGAGAGGUUUCUCAACGUGGUAAUCUUGUUGAUCUACAAAGAAAGCUUCUUUCCCCGAUCUUAAAGGAGCAAAUAACUGAUGUUAGGGAUGAACAGUCGGGAACCUAUUUCAUUAAGAGUUGCUUAUGUAAUAAAAAGGUUCUUCUCAUUCUUGAUGAUGUGAAUGAAUCAAGCCAACUAGAGAAAUUUGCUAAGGAAAAGGAUUGGUUUGGUAAGGGGAGUAUCAUCAUCAUUACAACUAGAGAUGAACGGUUGGUUAAAAAGCAUGAUAUGGAGAUAUCAUAUAAGGUAGAGGUAUUAGGUGAUGAUGAGGCUCUUGAGCUCUUUAGUCUAAACGCCUUUAAAAAAUUUGAGCCUGAGGAAGGUUUUUUGGAAUUGUCCAAGUGCUUUGUAAAUUAUGCUGGAGGCCUUCCAUUAGCUCUUAAAAUUUUGGGAUGCUCUAUGUAUAAGAGAGAUCGAGAUGAAUGGAAAAACGAAUUGGAUAAGCUACGGAAAAUUCCUGAGACUGAAAUUUUUGAUUUGCUCAAAAUCAGUUUUGAUAGAUUAGAUGAGAUGAACAAGAAUAUAUUUCUUGAUGUUGCAUUUUUUCAUAAGGGGAAGGGCAAGAAUGAAGUAAUUGGAAUACUAGACAGUUGUGACCGUUAUGGUGGGAUAAAUGCUCUGGUUGAGAAGUCGCUCUUAACUAUUGAUAUUUCAUACAACGUUAACAUUGUUGGGAUGCAUGAUUUGAUACAAGAAAUGGCAUUUGAAAUUAUUCGUCAAGAGUCUCCUGAAGAGCCCGGUGGACGUAGUCGAUUGUGUCAUCGUAAUGACAUCAUUCAUGUAAUGAUAAACAACACGGCAACUAACAAAAUUCAAGGCAUUGCCUUAAGCAUGACAGAACUUGAAAAGGCGGAUUGGAAUUGUGAAGCAUUCUCUAAGAUGAUUAACUUGAAAUUUCUUGAAGUUGAUAAUGUGAUCAUUUCCCCAAUGUCAAUCCCCAAAAUUCUUCCUAAUUCCUUAAGAAUUAUGAAAUGGAAUCGGUAUUCUUCCAAAUUUCUCCCAUCAAAUUUUCAACCGACUAAACUUGUUUCACUUGAGAUGCAGGACAGCAAACUAGUUGGGCUCUGGGAUGACAAAAUUGACUUGCCCAAUUUGAAAUACAUGGACCUUAGUGGCUCUCAAAACUUGGAAACAACCCCAAAUUUCACUGGCAUUCCAAAACUUGAGGUGUUGAAUCUUGAAAGGUGUGAGAAUUUAGUUGAGAUUCACCCAUCCAUUGCAUUUCUCAAAUGGCUUACAGAUUUAAUUCUAAAUAGAUGCAAAAGUGUUAAGGGUCUUCCAAGGGAGGUAGAAAUGGAUUCUCUUGUACAUUUCGAGGUUGAAGAUUGCUCAAAACUGAAAAAGAUUCCAGAAUUUUCAAGACAAAUGGAAAAGUUGUCAAUUCUUAAUUUGAGGGGGACGCCCAUUGAGAAAUUACCUUCAUCAAUUGGACGUCUUGUUGGCCUUACUUUAUUGGAUGUAAGCAAUUGUGAAAAUCUCUGGGGUCUUUCGAGCGAAAUUUGUAAUUUGAAGUCUCUUCAAGAGCUCACGGUGAAUGGAUGCUCAUACAGUGACAAACGCCCAGAAAACUCGUGGGGUUAUUUAAAGAUCGGUAUGCCUAAUAAAUCAAAGCGUAAUAAAUCAAGGUUUUGGUGGGGCCUCCAAAGAAAGGCUUUUGUGUUGGGUUCGCUAUAUGGAUUAUGGUCUUUGAAGUAUUUGAAUGUGAGUGAUUGUGGUCUUUGUGAAGGGGAUAUUCCCGUCGAUAUUGACUGCUUAUCCUCUUUAGAAAUAUUAGACCUUAGUCGAAACAAUUUUGUUAGCCUUCCUGCAAGCAUUGGAUGUCUUACUAAGCUUUGGUCAUUUUCGGUGAGAGGGUGCCAAAGGCUUCAACAAUUGCCCCAUUUCCGCUUUGGAUUGGUUGAUAAUGAAGGCUUCAGCUCUAUUUACAUGCACACAGACGAUUGCACUUCCUUAAAAACGUUGCCAAACUUGAGCAUAAAAGGAGGAAGAGGUUUUGUUUCGUUGAGUUGUGUGAAUUGCUCUGGAUUGGUUGAGAAUGAUGGCUACGAUGAUAGUAUAAUACUUGGAAUGCUCUGGACUGCUCUGGAUUGGGGACUCCUUCAGGUACGCCCUUCGCCUAUUCCAACGACUUCCGCUUUCCAAAUUGUAACACCUGGAAGUAGAAUUCCAGAGUGGUUCAAUAAUCAAACUGUAGGAGAUUCCUUAAUUGUGGAGCUACCUCCAUGUACCACGUCCAUUUGGAUUGCUUUUUGUGCUGUCUUUGAAGAAGGUGCCCCUGUGGAUCACCCAAAUCCACCUCAUGACCUUUCUACCUAUUUUCGAAUUGAAUGUCGCCCAGGAGAAGGUCGCCCUGUGCAUAGUUUUGGAAUUAAUAAAGGCCAUCUUGUGUCACCUCACCUUUGGGUAUCUUGUGUAUAUCAUUUUGUAGUCGACAAAGAAUGCAGUCAGAUGAAGAUUUCAUUCCAUAAGUUUUCUGAGGAUGGCAUAAACAGAAUAUAUUGGUCGGGUAUAAAGAAGUGUGGGUUCCGUUUGGUACACAAGCAAGACGGGAAAAAACUCAACCAAAUCAUGAUGAUGAACCACUCCAUCAACAUCAGCACAAAAGCUACUUCUCCUCACAAUUCUCACAAUUCAGUUGAUGCAAGUGGAAGCUCUCACCAAAAAUCUCUCUGCCGCAAAAGCUAUGCUCUUUCCAAAUGGUUUUUAACAAAACUUGUAAAGAUUUUCUCCCUCUUUUUAACAACUGCAGUUUUUAUCAAAUCUUUCAACAAUAGCGAACAAUGGGGAUGCAUAGGACUUUUGAUUUGGAGGGUAACCACUUUGAUUUCCUACUUAGGCCUUGCACCCUCUUAUUUUUCUCUAUUGUUGAAAAGUUUAAUAAAAACUGUUAUUCUUAAAAGAGCAGCUAAAUUUUUGCAACCUUUGUUAAAAACGCCGCCUCCUCAGACGUCUGCACAUGAAUACUUGAAAGGCUAAUGACGGUCUUCUCACAAUUGAUAUUAGUGUCGAUACAGUAUUUGAAGCUGAUCAAAAGUAGUUGCGUGCUUAUUGGCCAAGUUCGCAUUGAGAAUUGAUGCUUUGUUGGGAUUCCUACUUGUCAGCUUCACUUCUUCUCGUUGACAGUUGCAGCUUGCCACCAAUUACAGUUAUGACGACGUCCAGAUGAGCGUCACCUUAAGGAUGGCAGGACUUGAAAAGGCGGAUUGGAAUUGUGAAGCAUUCUCUAAGAUGAUUAACCUGAAAUUUCUUGAAGUUGAUAAUGUGAUCAUUUCCUCAAUCCCCAGAAUUCUUCCUAAUUGCUUAAGAAUUAUGAAAUGGAAUUGUUUUCCUUCCA